AACGAACGCUGGCGGCAUGCCUAACACAUGCAAGUCGAACGAGACCUUCGGGUCUAGUGGCGCACGGGUGCGUAACGCGUGGGAACCUGCCCUUAGGUUCGGAAUAACUCCCCGAAAGGGGUGCUAAUACCGGAUAAUGUCUUCGGACCAAAGAUUUAUCGCCUUUGGAUGGGCCCGCGUUGGAUUAGCUAGUUGGUAGGGUAAAAGCCUACCAAGGCGACGAUCCAUAGCUGGUCUGAGAGGAUGAUCAGCCACACUGGGACUGAGACACGGCCCAGAAUCCUACGGGAGGCAGCAGUGGGGAAUAUUGGAAAAUGGGCGAAAGCCUGAUCCAGCAAUGCCGGGUGAGUGAUGAAGGCCUUAGGGUUGUAAAGCUCUUUUACCCGGGAUGAUAAUGACAGUACCGGGAGAAUAAGCUCCGGCUAACUCCGUG
Molecule: ribosomal RNA, 433 nt
Filed under: uncultured bacterium
Lineage: Bacteria
Description: partial 16S ribosomal RNA
Rfam family: Bacterial small subunit ribosomal RNA
Source: RNAcentral